CCAAAGUCUCACCGUGGCGGGACUACAACUACCAUAAUGCCUCGGGCGAGCGCGCCGCCGCCGAGUGACGCGCAGGCGCGGCAGGGAGGGGACGCUGGGGAAGGGGUGUGAGUUUCCGGUUUUUCUGACUCAGCCUCCGCCGGGAGGGACCCCGGAAACGAUUUUAGCUGUUUGGCACUUUGAAGGCAGUAGUUGGAACAGCAGGAAGGAGAUGAAACUGCAUAUACUGCCUGACUGUGAUUCCUGGAAACUCUAGAAAUCUUUAAUAAUCUUCUAGAAAUCUUUAAUAAACUCUAGAAAUCUUUAAUAUUCUUCUAGAAAUCUUUAAUGAACAUCUCAAAUGAAUCAGUACAUAUCUGUAAUCCUGACUUUUGGGAAAUGGAGACCAGGAAAAUCAGGAGUUCGAGGCCCGCCUGGGCUAUAUGAGACCUACCUCGAAAAACAAAGGAGCUGGUUUUGUAGCUCGGUUGGUAGAUUGAUUGCCUAGGAUUCAUGAAGUCCUGGGUUCAGCGCCCAGGAGGGACAUAACGUUAAUGUAAUGGCAGCACUCAGAAGGUAGUGGAGGCCUGAGGAGCAGUAGUUUCAAGGUGAUCCUGUUCUACACGGAUAAAUUUAAAGCAAUAAAAUAAAGGAGUGGAAUUUUUGAAACCCGAUAAGAUCAAACUAAGGUCAAACUGUGUCUACAGUCAGAGUGGACAAGCUGAAAGCCCCCUCAAGAAUCCAAGAUAAGCUGCCAUUCUUGUUUCCCACCAAUCCUGGUGAGUUUGUUUUGUUUUUAGGUGGUAAAUGUGUCUGAAUUACACUUGGAAUAAAAACGGAAAAAAGGAGCACAGAAGGACUCUGGGGGGAAAGGGAGACUGGAAGAUAGCAGAAUGCUGAGAACUCGGACACCAGGAGCUGCUGCAUUGUGUUGUCAUCCAUGACGCCUGAACAAAGCCAUCAUGAGUCAUAGGCAGCUUCUCAUAGGUUCCUUAGAGACCCUUCAGGGUAGCCUACAAAGUCAGCACUGUGGCACAGUCAUAAAGCUAGCAAGUCCCGGAGCUAGCACUUUAUUUCCGGAGCACAGGAGACUACAGAUCUGAAAAGGAUAAACUAAAGAGUUGGAGACAUGGCUUACUGAUUAAGAAUGCCUGCCGUACAAGCAUCAGGACCUGAACUUGGACCCCAGGACUCAUGCGACAAACAAGGCUUGCCAGUAACUGCAACACUGUUGGAGGCAGAAUGGGGUGACAAAAUACUCAACAGGAAACAACUUAAGGAGAAAAGGAUUUGUCUUGGCUCAUGGUUUAAGAGAGCACAGUCCAUCACCGUGGGAAGACAUGGCAGAGUUCGUGGAGGCAGAACACACAGCUGGGACUCACAGCUGGAAAGACUGGGAGGCAGAGAGCAGGAUAUGCUGCCAUUCCUUCUUCGAUUUUUAUUCAGCCCUGGCUGCUAAUCCAUGGGAUGAUGAUGCUGACGUUGUGAGUAGUUCUUCAGUUCAACCUCUUGGGAAGCACCCUCACACACUCAGAAAGUGGCGAAUGUCCUUAGUGAUUCCAAACCCAGUCAUGUAAGUGCCGACCUAGCUGAAUAAAAAAUAUACAGCAAAAAGUGCUCAAAUGAAAAAUGGGGGGAGCCAGGUGCCGUAGCACUCGCCUUUAACUCCCAGCACUCUGGAGGCAGAGGCAGGUGGAUCUCCAAGAGUUCAAGGCCAGCCUGGUCUAAAUAGCAAGUUCCAGGCCAGCCAGAACUACAACAAGACUCUGCUUAUCAGUAUUUCAUGUAGCCUCUUAAGAAAGGAAAUUCAAAUGGACAGUAAGCAUAAAGAGUGUGUCCUAAUGUUUUAAUCAAAUAAAUGCAGCUGGUAGAGGCCUGUACCACCAUAA
Long non-coding RNA from Meriones unguiculatus (Mongolian gerbil), 1868 nucleotides. RefSeq lists it as uncharacterized. NCBI's taxonomy places the organism in Eukaryota, Metazoa, Chordata, Mammalia, Rodentia, Muridae. The transcript is spliced from 2 exons. The record is from RefSeq and is a predicted model, not a curated record.